Myotis davidii is the source of this 1620-nucleotide long non-coding RNA. RefSeq lists it as uncharacterized. NCBI's taxonomy places the organism in Eukaryota, Metazoa, Chordata, Mammalia, Chiroptera, Vespertilionidae. The record is from RefSeq and is a predicted model, not a curated record. The transcript is spliced from 2 exons.
ACUGUGCCCAUGAUGGUGUGGAUUUUUCCCCUUUAAUGUCACUGCUGAGAACACAUCUGUAUGGGUAGUUGCUACUACCCGCUGUCAAGUUAGGAGUUUAGUGGUGUUUGGUACAACUUCUGGGCACAGUGGGUGUUGGGGUUAGCUUUUCGGCAGGUGCCCCAUUAAGCAGAUGGUGCUCCACUGCACUAAGGAAAGAUGUAGUUUUGCCCAAGAAGAACUACUGCACUGUCAGCAGCAGAUCAAAGGGAGGUUCAUUCCAAGCCACUCCAGACCAGAAAUUGUAGUGGGGACAGUCUACAGGAGACCAGAGGGAGGGAGACCACAGAGAAUCACCCUGUCACACUUGAGUCAUUGGCUGGGUGCAGCUGCUUGUCAUGCCAGUGUCCGUCCAAGUCGGGCCCCCUCUGCGUGUCGUCACCAUAAAAGGUAGAGAUGUGACAUGAAUGCAUUGUGUGUGGGAAGCUUGUUGUUACUGAUCAUCCCCCUGGCAGAGGAGUGAGUAGACCCCACAGGUUGGCAUAAAGACAAACCCUAGGGAGGGUCUUGAAAGGAAAGUAACUGUUUACUUCUCCCAUCUUUUCUCCCUGUUACCUCCUAACUCAGGUGGAAAACCCACGCCAUCUGGGAACACUAAGAAGGCACAAUAAUAUCAUCCUGUAGCUUCCACAGAGUUACAUGAGCAAAGACUCAGGGGCCAGCAGAAAAUGAAGAAGCCGAUUGAGGCAGGAUCUGUGUCCGUGGGGGAUGUUUUGGGUUGCCCUAGAAGAGGGGGUGGUGGUGGUGGUGGAGGGUGGCUCAUGUCUUUCCCAGCACUAAUUUACACUCAGUUUCCGGGUUUGAGGCUCAUCAUCAAUAGGGAGGUUCCUGAGAUCCAGUCUAAACUCAGAGGAUCUUUGUGUUCAUAGAGAGCCCUGCGGGUUCUUUGCUGAGGAGACGUUUGGUGUGCUGACAGUGUCCUGCAUCAGAUGGGUGUUGGAUGACCCGGUUUCGUUUUACAUCUGCUAAUAGUGCAUAUGGAUCUCUUUCUCUCUCCUUGACAUUUUUAGAGAGAAAGGAGCCUUGAUGGGGUCCUCUUCUUGAUGCUACCUUACGUUGUGGCCUGACACAGUUUCCUAACAUUGCCGGACCCAAUUCCUCUUAAAAACAUGAGGGGUUCAUUUACAGUGGUUCAGCCCAGCUGCACAUCGGGCACCCAGGAAGAUUUCGAACAUACUGACAUGCAGGCUGCACUUCAGAGCAAUUACGUAAGAGGAAGGAGGAAAGCUGGUCCUGUCCCGCUGAGCUGAUUUCACAAUGCUUAAUGGACGAUACCUGUGGUAAAAACGAGACCCAAAUCCUGGUGGAGAGGAAAGAGCUUGGAGGGCCGUUGGAGCAGCGUGCCCAGCAGAGCUCCCGUGGUGGUGGGCACCGUCUGUUCAGCACUGCUGUCCAAUGUGGGGACUGCUGGCCCAGGUGGCUGUUGAGCAGGAUGUGGCUAGUGCGAAUGAAGAACUGAAUUUUACAUUUCAUUCCAUUUCAAUGCAUUUCAAUUUAAGUAGCCACACGUGUGGCUCAGGCGAAGCUGAACCUUAAAUUGUGUUCGGUUUUCAUUAAUUUAAAUGUAAGUAGCUGCCUGUG